UUCCGGCCAGCUCUGCUCUGGCUCUUCUCGCUUACCUGUGAGAAGCAAGCUGCAGCUGUGCAGACACCCACAUGGCAAGGAGUGAGGCCCAGAGAGGACAAGCCGAGAGAACUGAAGCCUCCAGCCCAGCAGCCGGGGAGAAAGUGACUCUUGCCAGCAACCAAACUUGAAAAGAGAAACUACGCCAAAAUCCAAGGAAACAGGAGAAAAAAAUCAGAAGAAGACAGAGUUCUCUGGGCCGAGGGCUCUGUUGGACUUUGCCCUGUGGCUGGAUUCUCAUUUUCCUGCUGUUGCAGAAGACCACCUGCCUGUGCAGAUGCUAGCUAGUCAUGCCUGCUGGAGCCUGCUCACACAGCCUCAGAGAUCCCUUUCCAGGGCCUGCAGAAAAUAUUUAGGAAAUGGAAUCCAGUGAUGAGAGAAGAAAUCUGAAAAAGGAUGAUU
This is a long non-coding RNA of Mustela erminea (ermine), 441 nucleotides long. RefSeq lists it as uncharacterized. The record is from RefSeq and is a predicted model, not a curated record. The transcript is spliced from 3 exons. Lineage: Eukaryota; Metazoa; Chordata; Mammalia; Carnivora; Mustelidae.